Aegilops tauschii subsp. strangulata is the source of this 1445-nucleotide non-coding RNA. Lineage: Eukaryota; Viridiplantae; Streptophyta; Magnoliopsida; Poales; Poaceae. The record is from RefSeq and is a predicted model, not a curated record.
CCAUGCCACGCCCGACCAGAGCACCACCCAGUCCCCAUCCCCACUCCGAGUCCCCAGCUCCAAAGGCACUCCGCCGCCGCCGCCGCCGCCAUCCAUCCAUCUCCGGCGCCGCCGCCGCCGCCAUCCAUCCAUCUCCGCCGCUGCCGCCGCCAUCCAUCCAUCUCCGCCGCUGCCGCCGCCUACCUAUUCCACCCAAGAACCGUAGCCAGCGCUCGCGGCGGACGGUCGGCAUGGAGGAGCCGAUGUCCAGGCUCACCCACGACCUAAUGGCGGAGAUCCUCUCUCGCGUGCCCUACAAAUCACUCUGCGUCUGCAAGUGUGUGUGCCCUGCCUGGCGCGACCUCAUCGCAGAUCCGGAGAGUCGGAAGAAGAUUGUGCAGUCCCUGGCCGGUUUCUUCUACCACAUCCCGGCCGACUCUGCCGAGUCCCGCGGCUUGGCCGUCAACUACGCCGACCUCUCUGCCUUCCCUUGGGCGAGCGUGCCCAGGACCUACCCGCGCUUGCCACUACCGCCAGACAGCGCAGACUGUUUCUUCACUGUCAAGGAUUCCUGCGAUGGGCUGUUUCUUACCCGGAUUGGGACGGGCACGCCGGAGCCACAAUCUGGCUACAUGGUCUCCAAUCCAACUACCGGAAACUUCCGUUGAACCUCUAUCCCGGAGAGAUUGCAGAGAGGAUCCUCAGGAAACUUCCAUUGAAGCUCCGAAGGUUGUACUGAUUUUCCUCUUGGCCUCGCACUCAAGUGUGGAAUAUAUUCAGUCAGAUAUGCAUAUAACCUUACCAGAUCACAGCUACUCCGGGAAAAUCCAAGUGAUGAUGCCAAAGUAACAUCAUCAAACUAGGGGACUAUGGAAAACGGUUGGAGAAAACUAUUGAUAAUUCAAUGUCCUAACAAGUUGAAGGUGGUUUUAUUCAUGUGCGAGCAACCCUAACAAGGCAAUGGUUAGUGAACUGGAUUACUGAAGCAUCAGAGUUCCACUGCUUGAUUUUUGUGCUGGUACUGAUGUCGUGAUGGUUCCUUCGCGUUGCUGAAAAUAUCCAGGCUUAUAUCGAUUUUGUGUUGCUGAUUGGCAUCAGUUCAGCAGGCUCCAAUAGGCGUGAGAUGCUGUCGACGUCAACUCAGAAAUAUAUGAUCUCCGCCACUUGUCGAUGAUCAAUGUGGAUGCUGUGAUUUUUUUUUCUCAGUAUCAUGUUUCAUAGUACCUAGCCUCUACUUCCAGCAAGCAGCCUCCUGUGAGGAAGCCUAGUCCAAAAUCAUGGGAAGAUUCUAAAAAAAUAUCAUGGGAAAUGUCUGUUAAAAACACAAGGGAAAUGCCUGGAAAAAAAGUAGUACUCAUUUUUGAUUUAAAAAUAAGUGACAUAAUUCAUUAUGUAAACGGGGAAAAUAUGAGGUGCAUUUGGGAGCAUGUACUUCUCUAACUAAGUUCAUACUGUUACAUUUUAAA